GAAUACUUGUUAUCCGGAGAUGCCCCGAGCUCACGACCAUUACAGAGCUAGGGCAGCUUCCCUCGCUUUCGGAACUGUGGAUCGGUGGUUGCCCCAACGUCGAAUCGUUUUCUACAGAGGAUCAAGCAUUCUGUCUGCCUCCCUCGCUUAUGCAUUUGGAAAUGUACGGAUGUCCUUUACUGAAAGAGAGGUGUGAAAAGAAGAAAGGCCAAUAUUGGCCCCUCAUUUCUCACAUCCCUGAAGUCUACAUAGACCACAUACUCCAAGAUACUAGGCCCCAGUUCUGAGAAGUGGAGACUAUGUUAUACUUCUUUGGAAUGCCAUUUUCUCAAGUGAUACUUUGCAACAAGAUGAAGGGACACGCCCUUCAACUGAUACAUUUUUGGCACCAACCAUUUGGAGUUUCGAAUGGUGAAUUUUCGGGUUGUGGUGUUCACAAGUUUCAAUGUGUUUUCAGAGCUCAGGAUGUAUCCAAUUGGACAGUCAAAAUAUUUUUAUGUGUGUGUGUAUUUGCGUCAUUAGAUUUCAAGUCUUGUAGUGACAGAACUUCGAAGGUUAAAUUGCUAUGUGGUGUCUAAAUGCCUUUGAUUAUGUUGUUCUUCCUACUUUCCUUCCUGCAACACUCUCAUUUUUUAAUCAAAUCGUCCUCCACUUAUUUGGUAGUAUCA
Molecule: long non-coding RNA, 668 nt
Organism: Rhododendron vialii
Lineage: Eukaryota; Viridiplantae; Streptophyta; Magnoliopsida; Ericales; Ericaceae
Exons: 3
Source: RefSeq, a predicted model, not a curated record